GUGAGGAAUUUUCCGCAAUGGGCGAAAGCCUGACGGAGCAAUGCCGCGUGAAGGAUGAAGGCCUAUGGGUUGUAAACUUCUUUUCUCAGAAAAGAAUUAUGACGGUAUCUGAGGAAUAAGCAUCGGCUAACUCUGUGCCAGCAGCCGCGGUAAGACAGAGGAUGCAAGCGUUAUCCGGAAUGAUUGGGCGUAAAGCGUCUGUAGGUUGUUUAAAAAGUAUUCUGUCAAAGAUUAGGGCUUAACCCUAGAUAGGCAGAAUAAACUUUUAAGCUAGAGUUUGGUAGAGGCAGAGGGAAUUCCCGGUGGAGCGGUGAAAUGCGUAGAUAUCGGGAGGAACACCAAAGGCGAAGGCACUCUGCUGGGCCAAUACUAACACUGAGAGACGAAAGCGAGGGGAGCAAAUGGGAUUAGAAACCCCUGAGUCC
Molecule: ribosomal RNA, 425 nt
Filed under: uncultured bacterium
Lineage: Bacteria
Description: partial 16S ribosomal RNA
Rfam family: Bacterial small subunit ribosomal RNA
Source: RNAcentral